Molecule: ribosomal RNA, 497 nt
Filed under: uncultured bacterium
Lineage: Bacteria
Description: partial 16S ribosomal RNA
Rfam family: Bacterial small subunit ribosomal RNA
Source: RNAcentral
GAUGAACGCUGGCGGCGUGCCUAAUACAUGCAAGUCGAGCGAACGGACGAGAAGCUUGCUUCUCUGAUGUUAGCGGCGGACGGGUGAGUAACACGUGGAUAACCUACCUAUAAGACUGGGAUAAUUUCGGGAAACCGUAGCUAAUACCGGAUAAUAUUUUGAACCGCAUGGUUCAAAAGUGAAAUACGGCCUUGCUGUCACUUAUAGAUGGAUCCCCGCUGCAUUAGCUAGUUGGUAAGGUAACGGCUUACCAAGGCAACGAUGCAUAGCCGACCUGAGAGGGUGAUCGGCCACACUAGAACUGAGACACGGUCCAGACUCCUACGGGAGGCAGCAGUAGGGAAUCUUCCGCAAUGGGCGAAAGCCUGACGGAGCAACGCCGCGUGAGUGAUGAAGGUCUUCGGAUCGUAAAACUCUGUUAUUAGGGAAGAACAUAUGUGUAAGUAACUGUGCACAUCUUGACGGUACCUAAUCAGAAAGCCACGGCUAACUACGUG